This 800-nucleotide ribosomal RNA is filed under the name uncultured Flavobacteriia bacterium. Its description in RNAcentral is "bacterial SSU rRNA". It matches the Rfam family "Bacterial small subunit ribosomal RNA", at positions 28 to 825 of the family's 1533-position model. The record is from RNAcentral. Lineage: Bacteria; Pseudomonadati; Bacteroidota; Flavobacteriia.
GAUGAACGCUAGCGGCAGGCCUAACACAUGCAAGUCGAGGGGUAACAUGAGUGCUUGCACUUGAUGACGACCGGCGCACGGGUGCGUAACGCGUAUACAAUCUACCUUGUACUGAGGGAUAGCCCAGAGAAAUUUGGAUUAAUAUCUCAUAGUAUGUGAUUUUGGCAUCAUUAUCACAUUAAAGGUUACGGUACAAGAUGAGUAUGCGUCCUAUUAGUUAGUUGGUGUGGUAACGGCACACCAAGGCUACGAUAGGUAGGGGCCCUGAGAGGGGGAUCCCCCACACUGGUACUGAGACACGGACCAGACUCCUACGGGAGGCCGCAGUGAGGAAUAUUGGACAAUGGGCGAGAGCCUGAUCCAGCCAUGCCGCGUGCAGGAAGACUGCCCUAUGGGUUGUAAACUGCUUUUAUACAGGAAGAAACACUCGGACGUGUCCGAGCUUGACGGUACUGUAAGAAUAAGGAUCGGCUAACUCCGUGCCAGCAGCCGCGGUAAUACGGAGGAUCCAAGCGUUAUCCGGAAUCAUUGGGUUUAAAGGGUCCGUAGGCUGGCAAUUAAGUCAGAGGUGAAAGUUUGCGGCUCAACCGUAAAAUUGCCUUUGAAACUGGUUGUCUUGAAUUAUUGUGAAGUGGUUAGAAUAUGUAGUGUAGCGGUGAAAUGCAUAGAUAUUACAUAGAAUACCAAUUGCGAAGGCAGAUCACUAACAAUAUAUUGACGCUGAUGGACGAAAGCGUGGGGAGCGAACAGGAUUAGAUACCCUGGUAGUCCACGCCGUAAACGAUGGUUACUAGCUGUUC